GACGAACGCUGGCGGCGUGCUUAACACAUGCAAGUCGAACGAUGAAGAAGAGAAACGCGACCUUCGGCUCAAAUUUCACUUCGGAUUAGCGGCAGACGGGUGAGUAACGCGUGUGCAACCUACCUCUUACAAAGGGAUAGCCUCGGGAAACCGUGAUCAUUACCAUAUGACACAUUUAUAAGGUAUCUUAAGUAUGUUAAAGGUUCGGGGGUUAGGGAUGGGCUCGCGUCGUAUUAGCUAGUUGGUGCGGGAACGGCCCACCAUGGUGACGAUGGGUAACCGGGAUGGGAGGCUGGACCGUGACGACUGAGCUAAGGCACAGUACGAAAUCGUACGCAAGGGAGGAGAGUGUUAUAUAGCACGAUGGAGGGAGCUGUGAUGCAGCGACGCCGGGUGAGCGAUGAAUGGAGUCGUAAACUAAAGUUCUGUUCUAUGGGAAGAGAAUGACGGUACCGGAGGAGAAAGCCCCGGCUAAAUACGUG
RNAcentral lists this ribosomal RNA (482 nucleotides) under uncultured bacterium. RNAcentral describes it as "partial 16S ribosomal RNA". It matches the Rfam family "Bacterial small subunit ribosomal RNA", at positions 28 to 507 of the family's 1533-position model. The record is from RNAcentral.